Molecule: ribosomal RNA, 841 nt
Filed under: Metarhizium guizhouense
Lineage: Eukaryota; Fungi; Ascomycota; Sordariomycetes; Hypocreales; Clavicipitaceae
Description: partial 28S ribosomal RNA
Rfam family: Eukaryotic large subunit ribosomal RNA
Source: RNAcentral
AUUGCCCCAGUAACGGCGAGUGAAGCGGCAACAGCUCAAAUUUGAAAUCUGGUCCCCAGGGCCCGAGUUGUAAUUUGCAGAGGAUGCUUUUGGUGAGGUGCCUUCCGAGUUCCCUGGAACGGGACGCCAUAGAGGGUGAGAGCCCCGUCUGGUUGGAUACCGAGCCUCUGUAAAGCUCCUUCGACGAGUCGAGUAGUUUGGGAAUGCUGCUCUAAAUGGGAGGUAUAUGUCUUCUAAAGCUAAAUAUUGGCCAGAGACCGAUAGCGCACAAGUAGAGUGAUCGAAAGAUGAAAAGCACUUUGAAAAGAGGGUUAAAUAGUACGUGAAAUUGUUGAAAGGGAAGCACUUAUGACCAGACUUGGCCCCGGUGAAUCAUCCAGCGGUCCCCGCUGGUGCACUUUGCCGGGGUUCAGGCCAGCAUCAGUUCGCUCCGGGGGAUAAAGGCUUUGGGAAUGUGGCUCCCUCGGGAGUGUUAUAGCCCAUUGCGUAAUACCUUGUGGCGGGCUGAGGUUCGCGCUUUAUGCAAGGAUGCUGGCAUAAUGGUCAUCAGUGACCCGUCUUGAAACACGGACCAAGGAGUCGUCUUCGUAUGCGAGUGUUCGGGUGUUAAACCCCUACGCGUAAUGAAAGUGAACGCAGGUGAGAGCCCUCCAGGGCGCAUCAUCGACCGAUCCUGAUGUUCUCGGAUGGAUUUGAGUAAGAGCAUACGGGGCCGGACCCGAAAGAAGGUGAACUAUGCCUGUAUAGGGUGAAGCCAGAGGAAACUCUGGUGGAGGCUCGCAGCGGUUCUGACGUGCAAAUCGAUCGUCAAAUAUGGGCAUGGGGGCGAAAGACUAAUCGA